UGCAGUCGAACGGCAGCACAGAAGAGCUUGCUCUUUGGGUGGCGAGUGGCGGACGGGUGAGUAAUGUCUGGGAAACUGCCCGAUGGAGGGGGAUAACUACUGGAAACGGUAGCUAAUACCGCAUAACGUCGCAAGACCAAAGUGGGGGACCUUCGGGCCUCACACCAUCGGAUGUGCCCAGAUGGGAUUAGCUAGUAGGUGGGGUAAUGGCUCACCUAGGCGACGAUCCCUAGCUGGUCUGAGAGGAUGACCAGCCACACUGGAACUGAGACACGGUCCAGACUCCUACGGGAGGCAGCAGUGGGGAAUAUUGCACAAUGGGCGCAAGCCUGAUGCAGCCAUGCCGCGUGUAUGAAGAAGGCCUUCGGGUUGUAAAGUACUUUCAGCGGGGAGGAAGGCGGUGAGGUUAAUAACCUCGCCGAUUGACGUUACCCGCAGAAGAAGCACCGGCUAACUCCGUGCCAGCAGCCGCGGUAUACGGGAGGGUGCAAGCGUUAAUCGGAAUUACUGGGCGUAAAGCGCACGCAGGCGGUCUGUUAAGUCAGAUGUGAAAUCCCCGGGCUUAACCUGGGAACUGCAUUUGAAACUGGCAGGCUUGAGUCUCGUAGAGGGGGGUAGAAUUCCAGGUGUAGCGGUGAAAUGCGUAGAGAUCUGGAGGAAUACCGGUGGCGAAGGCGGCCCCCUGGACGAAGACUGACGCUCAGGUGCGAAAGCGUGGGGAGCAAACAGGAUUAGAUACCCUGGUAGUCCACGCCGUAAACGAUGUCGACUUGGAGGUUGUGCCCUUGAGGCGUGGCUUCCGGAGCUAACGCGUUAAGUCGACCGCCUGGGGAGUACGGCCGCAAGGUUAAAACUCAAAUGAAUUGACGGGGGCCCGCACAAGCGGUGGAGCAUGUGGUUUAAUUCGAUGCAACGCGAAGAACCUUACCUGGCCUUGACAUCCAGAGAACUUAGCAGAGAUGCUUUGGUGCCUUCGGGAACUCUGAGACAGGUGCUGCAUGGCUGUCGUCAGCUCGUGUUGUGAAAUGGUUGGGUUAAGUCCCGCAACGAGCGCAACCCUUAUCCUUUGUUGCCAGCGGUUCGGCCGGGAAAUCAAAGGAGAAUGCCGGUGAUAAACCGGAGAAAGGUGGGGAUGACGUCAAGUCAUCAUGGCCCUUACGGCCAGGGCUACACACGUGCUACAAUGGCGCAUACAAAGAGAAGCGACCUCGCGAGAGCAAGCGGACCUCAUAAAGUGCGUCGUAGUCCGGAUUGGAGUCUGCAACUCGACUCCAUGAAGUCGGAAUCGCUAGUAAUCGUAGAUCAGAAUGCUACGGUGAAUACGUUCCCGGGCCUUGUACACACCGCCCGUCACACCAUGGGAGUGGGUUGCAAAAGAAGUAGGUAGCUUAACCUUCGGGAGGGCGCU
Molecule: ribosomal RNA, 1408 nt
Filed under: Pantoea sp. NCCP-2901
Lineage: Bacteria; Pseudomonadati; Pseudomonadota; Gammaproteobacteria; Enterobacterales; Erwiniaceae
Description: bacterial SSU rRNA
Rfam family: Bacterial small subunit ribosomal RNA
Source: RNAcentral